This is a non-coding RNA of Drosophila virilis, 789 nucleotides long. The record is from RefSeq and is a predicted model, not a curated record. NCBI's taxonomy places the organism in Eukaryota, Metazoa, Arthropoda, Insecta, Diptera, Drosophilidae.
GUUUUUGUUAGCUUUGCUGCUGCUUCGUUUGCUGCUCGGUGCUGCUGCUCCUUCUUCUUCUUUUAGCUCGUCUGUGUGGGGAUUGGUGAGAAUUGUUGUUGUGGACCCAUAUGCUACUUGCAAUUAAUUAAGCCAAACAAUUGGCCAGCAAACAAAAGAAAUCAACGCAACACACCGCAAACACGAUACACAACUUCAAAUACAGGCAUAAACACAAAUAUACAUACACGCUAAUAUAUGUACAUAUGGAUGUGAUUCACUUGUCGCGCUCGCCUCGUGUCCUGACGUAGGCGGUAAAGUUGCGUAGUUGUGAGUGUGAGGGGUUUGGGGAGGUCAAGCAGUAAACGCGCGAAGCGCGAAUACGACAAAACGAGUAUGCGAUUGAGAACACGCGACAAAAUAAUGCGCCGACGUCCGUACAGCACAAAAUUUAUAAACAAACUGAACUGGCAGCGACGUUGGCGUCAACGUCGUCAUUGCCGGCAGCCAACACCAACCAGGUUGCGUUUGAACUUUGGACGAGAACUUGUUUGCUGCUCGUGUGUGAGUUCUGCGAGUGUGUGUGUGUAUACUUGCGUGAGUGGGUGGCAUGAAGAGCGAGCUUAAGCGCGGCAACCGGAACAGUGGAGCAAAACUUGACAAAGUGCAGAAGUAAAGUUAUAAACUUAAAUGUUGUUUAAGCUUAAUGGUAUUGUUUAUAAAUAUUUACAAUAACUUUGCUACCAAAUAUUAUUGAAUAUUUCACCUGAACUAAAUGAGAUGUAAAUACAAGAUACAAUUAUUUAUUUA